GUAGAAGACUUUCUCAUCCAAAUAUUGUUAGAUUCUUGGCUGCUACCAAAAAAGAUCAGUAUAUACUCAUAGCAAAUGAGUAUGUCCAUGGAGCAAGUUUACACGUUGUACUUCACAGUGCAGACAGUCCAGUGAAGUUAGAAGCAGAAGAAAAAAAUUACGUUGCACUUGAUGUGGCAAUGGCUGUGGAAUACAUCCAUUCCAAGAAUGUAAUACACCAGGACCUGAAGCCUGCAAACAUCCUGAUUGAAGGCAGCAGCAAAAAGGCCUAUCUUACCGACUGGGGUUUAGCCAAUGUUCGCGACUCAGUUUCGCUAAGGCAGGGGAGCAAAAUAUCUGGCCUUUUAAGUGGACCUCUUGGUGGUACUGCUAUUUACACAGCUCCUGAAUGUCUGCUAACCUUUCAACCUUGUUCUGUACAUUCAGACAUAUGGUCCAUCGGCAUAACAUUUUUAGAGCUGUACACAAACACUGUACCAUGGUCUGUAAAGACCUGUAAAGAGCUGUGCCAGUUAAUGUCAACAGAGGCAGCUCCAAAUGCUUUAAACAAAUUUGAUUCAUUGUGCACACAAUUAAUAUGUACAUGUUUAAAAUAUACACCAUCGGAAAGAAUUUCGGCCUCAAACCUAGUUCUUCUGUUAAAAUCAUUGGACAACACUGAUUUAAAAAAAACAUUACGGAUACCAUUGGUAAUUACAAAAUGCAAUAUUUUAGAUGAUGACCUUUGUUUUAUUCAUCACCAAGAGGAAAGUAAAAUGUUUAGUUUUUCCUGUCAUUAAAAUGUAUUGUUACAUUAUAUACUGUAUACAGGAAAAAAGUGCAUACAAUUAUAUUGAUUAUGUUGUUGUUCUUGAUGUUAUGACUAUAGAAUUCUGAU
This is a long non-coding RNA of Erpetoichthys calabaricus (reedfish), 877 nucleotides long. RefSeq lists it as uncharacterized. The transcript is spliced from 3 exons. NCBI's taxonomy places the organism in Eukaryota, Metazoa, Chordata, Cladistia, Polypteriformes, Polypteridae. The record is from RefSeq and is a predicted model, not a curated record.